UACGUAGGGAGCAAGCGUUGUCCGGAAUUAUUGGGCGUAAAGCGCGCGUAGGUGGCCCCAUAAGUCCGCUGUGAAAGUCAAAGGCUCAACCUUUGAAAGCCGGUGGAUACUGUGGGACUAGAGUACGGAAGAGGCGAGUGGAAUUCCUGGUGUAGCGGUGGAAUGCGCAGAUAUCAGGAGGAACACCAAUAGCGAAGGCAGCUCGCUGGGACGUUACUGACACUGAGGCGCGAAAGCGUGGGGAGCGAACAGG
This 253-nucleotide ribosomal RNA is filed under the name uncultured bacterium. Its description in RNAcentral is "partial 16S ribosomal RNA". It matches the Rfam family "Bacterial small subunit ribosomal RNA", at positions 524 to 776 of the family's 1533-position model. The record is from RNAcentral.